Molecule: long non-coding RNA, 1384 nt
Filed under: Equus caballus (horse)
Lineage: Eukaryota; Metazoa; Chordata; Mammalia; Perissodactyla; Equidae
Description: lncRNA (ENSECAG00000032649.3)
Source: RNAcentral
CUCAGAGGUUUCUGCAAAGACUAAGAUUCUAUGAUUGUAUUCUCUCAUUUCUCCCAGUGUUCUAAGGGCGAGCUGCCAUCACAAGACUGGGACGUUGGCUCCUCCAGCAGCUCUGUGCGCGCGCGGAGAAUAGCGGAAGGAGACGUGAGGAGAAUCCUCGGGCCGAAAUACAAUAGGAUUCAAGGAAAGUCUGAAGGGCGGACCUGCCCUGAAUAUGAAACGACCAAAAUCAGGUUAUGCCCUUUUUCUGUGCUCACUUCCCAGCUGCUUUUUGAGCCUAGUGGGCCGUCUGUAGGCAGGUUAUUUUGCUCAGCAUGUGAGAAAUGAGAUCAAGGCUCACCACUCAAUCAGAACAGAUGGUCGUUGAACAAUUCCCAGAUGCACAUGAUAUGUGCCUAACCCAUGAUGGAAUCAGGAUGAGAAAGCUAGAGCGGACUAUACAUUGUCCAGAAAUAUCCGGUCAUCUGAUGCAUGGUGUGCACAUCUAACACAAGCUUCGUAUUCUGUAUACUCCUGCCUUUCAAUAAGUGGCCAUUGAUAAACUGAUUCAGCUUUCUCUUAUAAUAAGCUAUUUGAGAUUUCUCUGGAUUCGUGAGAGAAAGAAAAAAGAUAAAAUGUCCAGACUCUUCUUUGCUGCUGCCACAGAGAUGGACUGUUUUACUUAUAUGAUGUGCCUAUGAUUUUUAAUUUAGGCUCCCCUAAUUUUCUUUGUUGAGCAAACCCAACUGGACAGGAAGAAGUCACUUCUGUUUCCUAAGAGAUCAUCCUAGAUAGAAUUACUACAAAUAAGGAGAAGGGGUUUUGCACUUCUGAGUGUGUUCAUCAUCUGCUAUCAGUCUCUGAGUUGUGUCAACUCUAGGUGACCCUGUCCUGUAGUUUCCUGCCUACAGCUUACAAGUUCUGCUUUCCACCAGAACACAAUUCAGCCAAGUUCUCUGCCACUUUAUAACAAGGAUUCCUCCAGUUUCCAAUAGCAUGCUUCUAAUUUCCAUGGUAUCUCUCACUAAUAUCACAUAUAAUGACCCUGUUUCUACCAAUAGUCCCUUCAAUUUAAUCUAGGCUUUUUCUAUCAUGCACUCAAAAUUCUUCCAGCUUCAGAAUUAAUAUUAAGAUGUACAAACUAUCCAAAGCAAUCCAAGGAUUCAAUACAAUCCUUAUCAAAAUUCCAACAGCAUUUUUCACAGAACUAGAACAAAUAAUUCUAAAAUUUGUACAGAACCAGAAAAGAUCCUGAAUAACCAAAGCAAUCUUGAGAAAGAAGCACAAAGCUGGAGGUAUCAUGUUCUCUCAUUUCAAACUAUACCACAAAGCUAUAGUAAUCAAAACAGUAUGAUAUUGGCAUAAAAAGCAAACACACAGAUCAAUGAAACAGAGUAGAUAGCCC